This 255-nucleotide unclassified non-coding RNA is filed under the name uncultured fungus. Its description in RNAcentral is "partial contains small subunit ribosomal RNA, internal transcribed spacer 1, and 5.8S ribosomal RNA". The stretch from base 1 to 73 matches the Rfam family "Eukaryotic small subunit ribosomal RNA", at positions 1759 to 1831 of the family's 1831-position model. The record is from RNAcentral. Lineage: Eukaryota; Fungi.
ACAAACUUGGUCAUUUAGAGGAAGUAAAAGUCGUAACAAGGUUUUCGUAGGUGAACCUGCGGAAGGAUCAUUAGUGAAUUCUGGGAGUCCCUCCUUACCGGAGAAGGCCCAAUCCACUACCUUUACACACUCGUGCAAUUGUCCCUUUUUCAUAACCCUUGUGCAUUACAAACGGUUGUUGAUACAAGUUGAUCAUUAGAAAGAAAAACUUUCAGCAAUGGAUCUCUUGGCUCUCGCAUCGAUGAAGAACGCAGC